CUACGGGACGCUCCAGUAAGGAAUAUUGCGCAAUGGAGGCAACUCUGACGCAGCCAUGCCGCGUGCAGGAAGAAGGCCUUAUGGGUCGUAAACUGCUUUUAUUUAGGAAUAAACCCCCGAACGUGUUCGGGGCUGAAGGUACUAAACGAAUAAGCACCGGCUAACUCCGUGCCAGCAGCCGCGGUAAUACGGAGGGUGCAAGCGUUAUCCGGAUUUAUUGGGUUUAAAGGGUGCGCAGGCGGGCUAUUAAGUCAGUGGUGAAAUCCCGGGGCUCAACUCCGGAACUGCCAUUGAUACUGAUAGUCUUGAGUUUGGUUGAAGUGGGCGGAAUGUAGCAUGUAGCGGUGAAAUGCAUAGAUAUGCUACAGAACACCAAUCGCGAAGGCAGCUCACUAAGCCAAAACUGACGCUCAUGCACGAAAGCUGGGGGAGCGAACGGAUUAGAUACCCCUGUAGUC
RNAcentral lists this ribosomal RNA (458 nucleotides) under uncultured bacterium. RNAcentral's name for it is "partial 16S ribosomal RNA". It matches the Rfam family "Bacterial small subunit ribosomal RNA", at positions 339 to 795 of the family's 1533-position model. The record is from RNAcentral.